Molecule: ribosomal RNA, 291 nt
Filed under: uncultured Oscillatoria sp.
Lineage: Bacteria; Bacillati; Cyanobacteriota; Cyanophyceae; Oscillatoriales; Oscillatoriaceae
Description: partial 16S ribosomal RNA
Rfam family: Bacterial small subunit ribosomal RNA
Source: RNAcentral
CUCCGUGCCAGCAGCGCGGUAAUACGGAGGAUGCAAGCGUUAUCCGGAAUUAUUGGGCGUAAAGCGCGCGUAGUGGCCGUUCAAGUCUGGCGUUAAAAGCCGGGGCUUAACCUCUGAAAAUCAAAGGAAACGAACAGCUAGAGUGCGGGAGGGGUAUGUGGAAUUCCCAGUGUAGCGGUGAAUUGCGUAAUAUUGGGAAGAACACCAGUGGCGAAAGCGCUCUGCUGGCCCGUUACUGACACUGAGGACGAAAGCUAGGGGAGCGAAUGGGAUUAGAUACCCCAGUAGUCC